Molecule: unclassified non-coding RNA, 1488 nt
Filed under: Leishmania donovani
Lineage: Eukaryota; Euglenozoa; Kinetoplastea; Trypanosomatida; Trypanosomatidae
Description: gene:unknown
Source: RNAcentral
GUCAUCGGCGGCGUGCGGUGCACCCGCUCACAGAGAGCGAGAAAGGACCCUGACGACCUGCUGUGACGCCGUGACGUUGACGUUGUAAGUCUGCCUCCUGUCUACCCUAACGACAUUGAGCACGUCCUGUGAGCAAUGCCGCUGCUGCUGCUGCAGGUGGGGGUGGCGCGAUAAAGGGAUUCCUGAGCAGAGCGGCGCGAUGCGCCGUGCCACGCCCCGCACGUCUCCUCUCUAAAUCAUAAAGUGGAGACUGCGCGUAAACAUCAACCACUUCGGAGAAGAAAGGAGCGGUGGUGGUGACAGACAAGAUGCACAGGCCCUCCUUCCACCUCGUUGUCACGGUAGCACGUGCAUCGCCUUGAACACCAGCGUCUACGAGUGUGUAUGCGUUUCCAGUAAGGUGCUCGUGUGCGUAUCCUCGUCGACGCUGUCCUCCGCUCGCUCUCUCUCUCUACUUGGUCCCUCUCCCUCUCGUUAUAGUUGUUUCUGUGAAGGCGCGAUGCGUAUUCUUUUUUCGUUCUGGUCUCUUAACAGUUUUCAUGUUGGUUGCACAUGUCGCUGUGGGCGUGUGUUGUUAUGUGUCGUUCUCUCCCUUUCAGUUGUCUGUCCGUCUCCCGGUAGGUGCUUGUCUGCUGUAUGCUUGAGACACACACACACACACACACACAGACAGGGUUCGCCGAGUCCGCCGUCAUGUAUCUCAAGCACGCAUGCGCUUCGGCCAUCGAUCUGUCUUGUGCCAUGAGUGUGUGUGUGUGUGUGCCGGGGAGGGGGAGGUCGAUGGGUAUGUCGGUGGGUGGGUGACAAGGAAAGCGAAGGUGCUGCCAAGGAUGAACAGCCACACACCGGACGCACCCCCUUUCCCUUCAUCCAUGCACCCCCUCCCCUUCCCCCAAUCAUGAUGUUAUCGUGCGGCACGUCGUCUUGUUGCGAAAGCGGGCAACAGCCAAAGGCAACGCCUGCUGCUGCUGCUGCUUCCACGAAAGACCCCCCCUCCACCACCCUAUCGUGACCUACACGCUUCCACAAAUUUCACUUGUUUGAGUGCUCUUUCUAUCUCUAUCGAUGUAUGGGUCGCUGCCGCGGUGCCGUGCGCAUGUUUUCUCGAACUCCCGUGCGCACAGACAGGCACAGAGGCCACUACAUACAGGAAAAAGCGUGCGAAACGGAGGACCGGCGCGGCUCCUCUGCUCUCACUCCUCUCGUUUUCGCCGCCCUCCAGCCCUCGGCUGCGUGUGUGUACGUGCUGGGACUUUUUCUUUCUGUGGACAGUGCUGUCUCCUAGAGCGUCGCGACACGCAAUGCACAUGGAUACGACCACUUCGCCUACUCGUGCAUGUACGGCGCUCAUCUCGCUGAGCGCGCGCAGCGAGUACCACCUCGCUCAUGCGCGCUCGCCUCACGAAUUCACUUUCUUCCAUGUGAGGGGAGGGGUGGGGGCGCACGCAUGUCUUACCGUCUUCUUGUUGAACUGGCAAAAAAGCAAAU